Sciurus carolinensis (gray squirrel) is the source of this 858-nucleotide long non-coding RNA. RefSeq lists it as uncharacterized. Lineage: Eukaryota; Metazoa; Chordata; Mammalia; Rodentia; Sciuridae. The record is from RefSeq and is a predicted model, not a curated record. The transcript is spliced from 4 exons.
UAGAUUCCAGCAUGCUGGGAAAACUUCCUGCUACUCUAUCCAUGUCAUCUGUGCCCCAUGCCAUGUGACAAAGGAAUCAGGCCUGGGCGCCUGUGAGGCCUGUUUUCUGGGAACGGGAGGAAGAGAGAUCCAAUGGCUGCUUUAUAGCUUUCUAUCCCACCGGAAGUGAGGGUUAGGUGGUGCCUCAGGACACACUGGCCUUUUCCCUUCAAUGGUAUCCUGAUUCUGUCACUCACCAGCGAGCUGAUAUGAAAGGCAUCUGCUUGGUCAAACGUAACGACCACUGAGUCUGGACUCCACGGUGAGAACGAGCAAGUGUUCUCAGAUCACGGCGGGGCCAUCUCCACCUGCAGGACACUGCCCAGCAGGCGCGAGGGCAGUCGUGUGGAAUUUCCCCUAAGGGACUCUGUAGGACUCUGGGAAGGAGCACCUUGCUGUUCUGAGCUUGCGGCCACACCUUUAAAUGCACUGUGCACAGAUAAGGCUCAGAGAGGAGACCUGAGUUCCCUGAAGUCAUACAGUCAGAGUGCAGUCAAGGAGGUGAGCAGCUUUGUUCCAUUGAGUGCUCUCCACCAUGAUGUGCUUGACUCACCAGAGCCCGGAGGCAACAGGUCCAACUGAUCAUAGACUGAAGCCUUGGAAACCAUGAGUCAAAAUAAACCUUUCCUCUUUUUAAGUUGAUUAUCUCAGGUAUUUUGUCACAAUGAUGGAAAGCUGAGUAACACAGCAGGGAUUCCUCUCAAGUGUGAUCCCUGUGCUCAUGACAUAGAUUCAGAGUCAGUGUAAAAUCAUUUCAGGUCCCAAAGUGCAAAGAUUUUGGUGCCCUUUCACACUCCAUGUAAUUUAAAAUAAAAACAA